UAAAAGCUAUUACUACUGAUAAUAAGUAACUUUAGUUAAUAAUAGUAAGAAAUUGAUAAAUAUGCUUGAUUCUGUUCUAAGGAAGAUAUAUGUGCAUUUUUAAAAAAUGGAGCCCCAAAAUGUUUUGAAUGAAAUUAGUUUGGCAUAUUUGGUUAAUAUGUUCGCUUCUCCUUGGAGCUAAGACAGAGCCAGGGAAGGACUGGGUCACUGUGCUUUUGCUUAAUGGGAAGAAAACAGGACUUAAAGCCACUCAAAAAAGUAACUGGUAUAGAAAUCUGGAACAGUGUAUUAUUAGGAAUCUUGGUGUGAGGUACUCAAAAGGCCUUCUAAUAUUUUUUAAAAACUGCUUAGUUUCUUGUGUCCAAGAAUUGUGUAACAUAUAACAUGUAUAACAGAAUUGCAAAAAUAAUGUGUCAUGUACAAAUUCAUGGAACCUUUGCCUUUAAGUUCUUAAUAAUCCUUUUUAAAAUGUUGAUUUCCAGUUCCUGUAGGUUCUUCUGUCUUUUUAUUCUGUUCAUACAGAUGUGCCUCACUUUAUAAAAUUGGUGUAUUCUUAAAACAUCUGCGAAACAUAUUUCUGUGGAUUAAAUUCUGUUUUCCAUUGCAUGCUCUUCGGAUUUCAGAAAAUUUCUUCCGGGGGUUUGCUGUUAGGCUCAUUGUUUUGGACAGACUGGCUGAGCAGCUGAUGGAGCCCGCAGCUCUGAGGCCCACAGCCGGCAGCCCGGGCCAGCCGCCCCCGAACUCGGUUCUCUCCGCGGAGAUUUUCUCCUCGUUACAGAGACACACGGACGCCCACACAGAGUAGACCUAAGCUGUGAAAAACCAUAUCCAUAAAUAGCUGUGUUUCUGUCCUAAUAGCGUUUAUUUGGUUCAUAUUUACAGACAUCUCAAAUCAGUUUUUCUAGGCCCCUGGAUUGACCUUGCAUAAUUUUUCUUUCUGUUGGCUUUUAUUGUAGACCUUUAUGUCCUGCAUAAAGAUUUCAUCUUGAAGAGUUUCUUGUGUAACAAUUUUGAUGUUUAUGUGACAUUUCUGACAUUUGUUCUGUCAUUACAGAGCAGGAAACAUGCAAUGAUUAGAUUUAGUUACUUCGAAUGGAUGAAAGAACAAAUGAAUAAAAGCUCCUUUUUUCUUGUU
Molecule: long non-coding RNA, 1135 nt
Organism: Suricata suricatta (meerkat)
Lineage: Eukaryota; Metazoa; Chordata; Mammalia; Carnivora; Herpestidae
Exons: 2
Source: RefSeq, a predicted model, not a curated record